RNAcentral lists this ribosomal RNA (832 nucleotides) under Peniophora piceae. RNAcentral's name for it is "LSU rRNA". It matches the Rfam family "Eukaryotic large subunit ribosomal RNA", at positions 77 to 938 of the family's 3401-position model. The record is from RNAcentral. Lineage: Eukaryota; Fungi; Basidiomycota; Agaricomycetes; Russulales; Peniophoraceae.
UCCCUAGUAACUGCGAGUGAAGCGGGAAGAGCUCAAAUUUAAAAUCUGGCGGCUUCGUCGUCCGAGUUGUAAUUUAGAGAAGCGUUUUCCGCGUCGGACCGUGUACAAGUCUCCUGGAACGGAGCGUCGUAGAGGGUGAGAAUCCCGUCUUUGACACGGACAGCCGGUGCUAUGUGAUACGCUCUCGAAGAGUCGAGUUGUUUGGGAAUGCAGCUCAAAAUGGGUGGUGAACUCCAUCUAAAGCUAAAUAUUGGCGAGAGACCGAUAGCGAACAAGUACCGUGAGGGAAAGAUGAAAAGCACUUUGGAAAGAGAGUGAAACAGUACGUGAAAUUGCUGAAAGGGAAACGCUUGAAGUCAGUCGCGUCCCGCGGAACUCAGCCCUCGUGGUGUACUUUCCGUGGGACGGGCCAGCAUCACUUUUGGUCGCCGGAGAAGGGCGGGGGAAAUGUGGCACCCUCGGGUGUGUUAUAGUCCUCCGUCGUAUACGGCGGCCGGGAGUGAGGACCGCCUUUUGCAGGAUGCUGGCGUAAUGGCUUUAAACGACCCGUCUUGAAACACGGACCAAGGAGUCUAACAUGCCCGCGAGUGUUCGGGUGGCAAACCCGUGCGCGUAAUGAAAGUGAAAGUUGGGAAGGCUGUCGCGGCCUGCACCGACGCCCGGACUUGAGGCUUGCCGACGGUUCUGCGGUAGAGCGUGUAUGUUGGGACCCGAAAGAUGGUGAACUAUGCCUGAAUAGGGUGAAGCCAGAGGAAACUCUGGUGGAGGCUCGUAGCGAUUCUGACGUGCAAAUCGAUCGUCGAAUUUGGGUAUAGGGCGAAAGACUAAUCGA